CAGUCGCCACGGUAAUACGGAAGGUCCAGGCGUUAUCCGGAUUUAUUGGGUUUAAAGGGAGCGUAGGCCGGAGAUUAAGUGUGUUGUGAAAUGUAGACGCUCAACGUCUGACUUGCAGCGCAUACUGGUUUCCUUGAGUACGCACAACGUUGGCGGAAUUCGUCGUGUAGCGGUGAAAUGCUUAGAUAUGACGAAGAACUCCGAUUGCGAAGGCAGCUGACGGGAGCGCAACUGACGCUUAAGCUCGAAGGUGCGGGUAUCAAACAGGAUUAGAUACCCGCGUAGUCCCUGUCUCUUAUAC
Molecule: ribosomal RNA, 301 nt
Filed under: uncultured bacterium
Lineage: Bacteria
Description: partial 16S ribosomal RNA
Rfam family: Bacterial small subunit ribosomal RNA
Source: RNAcentral